This 2900-nucleotide ribosomal RNA is filed under the name Yersinia pestis 8787. RNAcentral's name for it is "bacterial LSU rRNA". It matches the Rfam family "Bacterial large subunit ribosomal RNA". The record is from RNAcentral. Lineage: Bacteria; Pseudomonadati; Pseudomonadota; Gammaproteobacteria; Enterobacterales; Yersiniaceae.
UAAGCGACUAAGCGUACACGGUGGAUGCCUAGGCAGUCAGAGGCGAUGAAGGGCGUGCUAAUCUGCGAAAAGCGUCGGUAAGCUGAUAUGAAGCGUUAUAACCGACGAUACCCGAAUGGGGAAACCCAGUGCAAUACGUUGCACUAUCGUUAGAUGAAUACAUAGUCUAACGAGGCGAACCGGGGGAACUGAAACAUCUAAGUACCCCGAGGAAAAGAAAUCAACCGAGAUUCCCCCAGUAGCGGCGAGCGAACGGGGAGGAGCCCAGAGUCUGAAUCAGUUUGUGUGUUAGUGGAAGCGUCUGGAAAGUCGCACGGUACAGGGUGAUAGUCCCGUACACCAAAAUGCACAGGCUGUGAACUCGAUGAGUAGGGCGGGACACGUGACAUCCUGUCUGAAUAUGGGGGGACCAUCCUCCAAGGCUAAAUACUCCUGACUGACCGAUAGUGAACCAGUACCGUGAGGGAAAGGCGAAAAGAACCCCGGCGAGGGGAGUGAAAUAGAACCUGAAACCGUGUACGUACAAGCAGUGGGAGCACCUUCGUGGUGUGACUGCGUACCUUUUGUAUAAUGGGUCAGCGACUUAUAUUUUGUAGCAAGGUUAACCGAAUAGGGGAGCCGUAGGGAAACCGAGUCUUAACUGGGCGUCUAGUUGCAAGGUAUAGACCCGAAACCCGGUGAUCUAGCCAUGGGCAGGUUGAAGGUUGGGUAACACUAACUGGAGGACCGAACCGACUAAUGUUGAAAAUUAGCGGAUGACUUGUGGCUGGGGGUGAAAGGCCAAUCAAACCGGGAGAUAGCUGGUUCUCCCCGAAAGCUAUUUAGGUAGCGCCUCGUGAACUCAUCUUCGGGGGUAGAGCACUGUUUCGGCUAGGGGGCCAUCCCGGCUUACCAAACCGAUGCAAACUCCGAAUACCGAAGAAUGUUAUCACGGGAGACACACGGCGGGUGCUAACGUCCGUCGUGAAGAGGGAAACAACCCAGACCGCCAGCUAAGGUCCCAAAGUCAUGGUUAAGUGGGAAACGAUGUGGGAAGGCACAGACAGCCAGGAUGUUGGCUUAGAAGCAGCCAUCAUUUAAAGAAAGCGUAAUAGCUCACUGGUCGAGUCGGCCUGCGCGGAAGAUGUAACGGGGCUAAACCAUGCACCGAAGCUGCGGCAGCGACACUUAGGUGUUGUUGGGUAGGGGAGCGUUCUGUAAGCCGUUGAAGGUGACCUGUGAGGGUUGCUGGAGGUAUCAGAAGUGCGAAUGCUGACAUAAGUAACGAUAAUGCGGGUGAAAACCCGCACGCCGGAAGACCAAGGGUUCCUGUCCAACGUUAAUCGGGGCAGGGUGAGUCGACCCCUAAGGCGAGGCUGAAAAGCGUAGUCGAUGGGAAACAGGUUAAUAUUCCUGUACUUGGUGUUACUGCGAAGGGGGACGGAGAAGGCUAGGCUGGCCGGGCGACGGUUGUCCCGGUUUAAGCGUGUAGGGGGAGUGACCAGGUAAAUCCGGUUGCUUAUCAACCCUGAGGCGUGAUGACGAUGCACCACGGUGCAGAAGCAGUUGAUGCCAUGCUUCCAGGAAAAGCCUCUAAGCAUCAGGUAACAUUAAAUCGUACCCCAAACCGACACAGGUGGUCAGGUAGAGAAUACUCAGGCGCUUGAGAGAACUCGGGUGAAGGAACUAGGCAAAAUGGUGCCGUAACUUCGGGAGAAGGCACGCUGGCGUUAGGUGAAAGGACUAGCUCCUGGAGCUGAAGCCAGUCGCAGAUACCAGCUGGCUGCAACUGUUUAAUAAAAACACAGCACUGUGCAAACACGAAAGUGGACGUAUACGGUGUGACGCCUGCCCGGUGCUGGAAGGUUAAUUGAUGGGGUCAGCCGCAAGGCGAAGCUCUUGAUCGAAGCCCCAGUAAACGGCGGCCGUAACUAUAACGGUCCUAAGGUAGCGAAAUUCCUUGUCGGGUAAGUUCCGACCUGCACGAAUGGCGUAAUGAUGGCCAGGCUGUCUCCACCCGAGACUCAGUGAAAUUGAACUCGCUGUGAAGAUGCAGUGUACCCGCGGCAAGACGGAAAGACCCCGUGAACCUUUACUAUAGCUUGACACUGAACAUUGAGCCUUGAUGUGUAGGAUAGGUGGGAGGCCUUGAAGUGUGGACGCCAGUCUGCAUGGAGCCAACCUUGAAAUACCACCCUUUAAUGUUUGAUGUUCUAACUCGGCCCCAUGAUCUGGGGUGAGGACAGUGUCUGGUGGGUAGUUUGACUGGGGCGGUCUCCUCCCAAAGAGUAACGGAGGAGCACGAAGGUUAGCUAAUCACGGUCGGACAUCGUGAGGUUAGUGCAAAGGCAUAAGCUAGCUUGACUGCGAGAGUGACGGCUCGAGCAGGUACGAAAGUAGGUCUUAGUGAUCCGGUGGUUCUGAAUGGAAGGGCCAUCGCUCAACGGAUAAAAGGUACUCCGGGGAUAACAGGCUGAUACCGCCCAAGAGUUCAUAUCGACGGCGGUGUUUGGCACCUCGAUGUCGGCUCAUCACAUCCUGGGGCUGAAGUAGGUCCCAAGGGUAUGGCUGUUCGCCAUUUAAAGUGGUACGCGAGCUGGGUUUAGAACGUCGUGAGACAGUUCGGUCCCUAUCUGCCGUGGGCGUUGGAAGAUUGAGAGGGGCUGCUCCUAGUACGAGAGGACCGGAGUGGACGAAUCACUGGUGUUCGGGUUGUCAUGCCAAUGGCAUUGCCCGGUAGCUAAAUUCGGAAGAGAUAACCGCUGAAAGCAUCUAAGCGGGAAACUUGCCUCGAGAUGAGUCUUCCCUGGGGCUUAAAGCCCCCUGAAGGAACGUUAAAGACUAUGACGUUGAUAGGCUGGGUGUGUAAGUGCAGCGAUGUAUUGAGCUAACCAGUACUAAUGAUCCGUGAGGCUUAACCU